AUUAUCUCCUCCCUCUAGAAUGUAGACUGUCUGAGAUUAAAGAUUGUGGUCUGUUUUGUCUGCUGUGGUAUCCCCAGCCCUUAGAGCAGAGCCUGACACAUAGUGCACAUGGCCUUUGACUGUUCCUCUCACUCCUUCCUGGCUUGUCAUCUUACUCCAUGCCUCGACCGUUCUGGCCAUUAAGAAUAAAGCUGCUAUGAACAUGGAUGGACAAAGCUCUGUGUGGACUUCUGUGUUUAUUUGUAUUUGGUAAACACCAAGGAGUGGGAUUACUGGGUCGUAAGCAAGUGAAUAUUUAAUUUUAUAAGAAACAACUGAAGUAUUUUCUGAAGUGGCUGUACCAUUUGGCAUUCCCACCAGAAAUAUGAGAUUUCUAGUUGCUCCAUAUCUUUGCCAGUAUUUGAUAUGAUCCAUUCUGUUGUUUAUUUGUGCUGUUUUGUUUUAAUUUUAGCCAUCCUAAUAGGUGGAUAGUGGCAUCUGACCAUGGUUUUACUUUGUGUUUCUCUGGUGACUAAUGAUAUAAAGUAUUUUUC
This 533-nucleotide long non-coding RNA is filed under the name Equus caballus (horse). Its description in RNAcentral is "lncRNA (ENSECAG00000055662.1)". Lineage: Eukaryota; Metazoa; Chordata; Mammalia; Perissodactyla; Equidae. The record is from RNAcentral.